RNAcentral lists this ribosomal RNA (253 nucleotides) under uncultured bacterium. RNAcentral describes it as "partial 16S ribosomal RNA". It matches the Rfam family "Bacterial small subunit ribosomal RNA", at positions 524 to 776 of the family's 1533-position model. The record is from RNAcentral.
UACGUAGGGGGCAAGCGUUGUCCGGAAUCAUUGGGCGUAAAGAGCGUGUAGGCGGCCCGGUAAGUCCGCUGUGAAAGUCCAGGGCUCAACCCUGGGAUGCCGGUGGAUACUGUCGGGCUCGAGUCCGGAAGAGGCGAGUGGAAUUCCUGGUGUAGCGGUGAAAUGCGCAGAUAUCAGGAGGAACACCGGUGGCGAAGGCGGGUCUCUGGGCCGAUACUGACGCUGAGGAGCGAAAGCGUGGGGAGCGAACAGG